This 296-nucleotide long non-coding RNA is filed under the name Elaeis guineensis (African oil palm). RNAcentral describes it as "long non-coding RNA (EGUI_LNC078179)". Lineage: Eukaryota; Viridiplantae; Streptophyta; Magnoliopsida; Arecales; Arecaceae. The record is from RNAcentral.
AUCCUUCAUAAAAAAGGCAAACUUGAAUAAAUCUAACAAAUCUGAAGUAAAAUGAAUAAAUAUGACAGGAAAAAGAUUCAAACAAUGUUUCCUAUUGUUAAUGCAUGUUGAAAAAUAUGAAUAUGACCAUAUCUCUUAGAAAAAAGAAUAACUGAUAUAGGAGAGAAAGUCAAAGCUGGUAGAACUACUAAAAAUAUAAAAUAAUAUAUAUAUUAUAAAAAAAUAUCUUGACUUUACCAUUGAUAGAGAGGUGGAGAGAUUAUUAGGAAAUAGAAGAGAGAGAUAGGGUUGGUUGA